Polyodon spathula (Mississippi paddlefish) is the source of this 1254-nucleotide long non-coding RNA. RefSeq lists it as uncharacterized. The record is from RefSeq and is a predicted model, not a curated record. The transcript has 3 exons. Lineage: Eukaryota; Metazoa; Chordata; Actinopteri; Acipenseriformes; Polyodontidae.
GAAUGAGUAAAAGCAUGCUGUCUGAAAUUACCUGUGACAUUUCCAGGAGCCCUUUUAGCUUCCAUUUUUAGGAACCAGCUUACUGGAACUUUAUAAGCAUUGUUUUCUGAAAAUUUCAAGGACUACAAUAACUGGGCUGAACACGGCAGGCAAGUCUCUCCAGAGUGGAUUACCAGUACCUGAAGCAUUGUCAGACAGCAGUGCAAGAGCUCCAAGCAGGAUAGACGCUGGUAGUGAGCACAACACAAAGGGUAGAAUCAUUACCAAGAGGCAUAGUACAAGGAAUACAGCGAUCUAGGAUUCUCAGAAUUAAAGGAAAGCAGGAAUAUUAACAGACCUCAAAGGAACCAGUUCUACUGUUUAAUUAAUCGAUGUAACAAGCAGUUGCUAAGGACUGGGGUGCAUGCAAUUCAUUGAUGCCAAAGACACUGCGAGACACAAAGUGUGCUUGUGUGUGUGUGUGACCACCUGCGUACUGCUGUGUCUGUUUGCCCAGCUCAUGACCUACCAGGGGUGUCAGAACCUGUUAAUAUGUGAAACGUUCAGCAGAUAUUGAUAUACAUUAGUGUUGGAACUUGUUAUCCAAUGCAAGGGAAUGGCAAUGAACUCUAGCCAGGAAUGCAGAGCAGUCCGGCUCUUUUCAUAGUGUUUAAGAAGCUUGCUUGCCUUGUGCAGGGUCGCUGGUUCACGCCCAGCCUAUACCCCAUUACACUGACUGCAAUGACUUCGAUCUCGUUGAUUGGCUGCAGCCGGUCGCUGGGGUUUGAGGAGGGAAGAGUGUAAUGGACAGUAUUGUGUAAAGACUCACAUAAUGGAUUAUGACCCGUCAGUGAGAUGAGACCAGGUUACAAGCUUCAUAACCAAGUAUCAAGGCAAGUCCGACUCUUUUUGGUAGCUGUUACACCUAGUAUAGCAAAUCACAGCUCAUAGAUACAGUAGGAUGUUUUCCGAGUUUUAGAGAAUCACAUUGUAUAACAUCUGUUUUGUACCCCCACUGUUUAGAAUCAUGCAUAUUUUCCAAUCCAUACAGACACAAGCUUUCAUAGAAACGAACACCCAGGUCUUACAUGAAUAUGUACAAAAGUAGAAAACACAAAUUUGGUCAAUAAGAUUCUUUAAAAACUUUUUGCAUCUUCUCAAAAUGACUUCAUUACAGUUCUGUGUUUUGAUUCUGUGUUCCAUUAUAAUACCUGCUCUUGUUUUAUCAUGCUGCAUUUCUGCCUUUGUCUCAGCCUUUCCUUCGUUUUCUCUCCU